GACGGAGGGUGCAAGCGUUAUUCGGAAUUAUUGGGCGUAAAGAGCGUGUAGGCGGGCGGUUAAGUCAGGCGUGAAAGCCCAGGGCUCAACCCUGGAAGUGCGCUUGAAACUGGCUGCCUUGAGUCCGGGAGAGGGAAGCGGAAUUCCGGGUGUAGAGGUGAAAUUCGUAGAUAUCCGGAGGAACAUCGGUGGCGAAGGCGGCUUCCUGGACCGAGACUGACGCUGAGACGCGAAAGCGUGGGGAGCAAACAGG
Molecule: ribosomal RNA, 253 nt
Filed under: uncultured bacterium
Lineage: Bacteria
Description: partial 16S ribosomal RNA
Rfam family: Bacterial small subunit ribosomal RNA
Source: RNAcentral